CUCACGACUGCGUGGCAGCGGCUGCAUCCCUGAAAUCCUGCCAUUUGCUGGAAUUAUUGCAUAUGCAGACGUGCUUACGACUCCGGCCAACGGACUUGCCCCUGUGCAAAUAGAAGGUUGAGCGAGGGAGUGUACCGGACUUGCCCAGGCCGCAAUUACUUACCCCUUCCCCGCCGGUGCGGUGCACGAUGCAAUUGAGAGGGGCUCAGCUGUAGAGUCAACGCAUGCACAGGGGUUCCAGCUACGGCUAAUGGCGUCAUGUUGACAGUUACGUCGCUGCCACGUUGUGUAGUAGCCGAAUUAGAAGACACACUGCUUAGUGGUUCAAGAUUUGCUUGGACGACAGAGUUAUAAUUGGUUGUUUAAUAUUGUGCACAACCCAUUAAGAGAGCAAAGGGACCAGCCAGAGCUCCAGAGCUUUGGGGUAGGCCACAUACGUUAAUCUAAACCCCUGUGCAAUUGUAA
Molecule: long non-coding RNA, 465 nt
Filed under: Volvox carteri
Lineage: Eukaryota; Viridiplantae; Chlorophyta; Chlorophyceae; Chlamydomonadales; Volvocaceae
Description: long non-coding RNA (VCAR_LNC003712)
Source: RNAcentral